RNAcentral lists this ribosomal RNA (1372 nucleotides) under uncultured bacterium. RNAcentral's name for it is "bacterial SSU rRNA". It matches the Rfam family "Bacterial small subunit ribosomal RNA", at positions 28 to 1381 of the family's 1533-position model. The record is from RNAcentral.
GAUGAACGCUGGCGGCGUGCCUAAUACAUGCAAGUCGAGCGAACGGACGAGAAGCUUGCUUCUCUGAUGUUAGCGGCGGACGGGUGAGUAACACGUGGAUAACCUACCUAUAAGACUGGGAUAACUUCGGGAAACCGGAGCCAAUACCGGAUAAUAUUUUGAACCGCAUGGUUCAAAAGUGAAAGACGGUCUUGCUGUCACUUAUAGAUGGAUCCGCGCUGCAUUAGCUAGUUGGUAAGGUAACGGCUUACCAAGGCAACGAUGCAUAGCCGACCUGAGAGGGUGAUCGGCCACACUGGAACUGAGACACGGUCCAGACUCCUACGGGAGGCAGCAGUAGGGAAUCUUCCGCAAUGGGCGAAAGCCUGACGGAGCAACGCCGCGUGAGUGAUGAAGGUCUUCGGAUCGUAAAACUCUGUUAUUAGGGAAGAACAUAUGUGUAAGUAACUGUGCACAUCUUGACGGUACCUAAUCAGAAAGCCACGGCUAACUACGUGCCAGCAGCCGCGGUAAUACGUAGGUGGCAAGCGUUAUCCGGAAUUAUUGGGCGUAAAGCGCGCGUAGGCGGUUUUUUAAGUCUGAUGUGAAAGCCCACGGCUCAACCGUGGAGGGUCAUUGGAAACUGGAAAACUUGAGUGCAGAAGAGGAAAGUGGAAUUCCAUGUGUAGCGGUGAAAUGCGCAGAGAUAUGGAGGAACACCAGUGGCGAAGGCGACUUUCUGGUCUGUAACUGACGCUGAUGUGCGAAAGCGUGGGGAUCAAACAGGAUUAGAUACCCUGGUAGUCCACGCCGUAAACGAUGAGUGCUAAGUGUUAGGGGGUUUCCGCCCCUUAGUGCUGCAGCUAACGCAUUAAGCACUCCGCCUGGGGAGUACGACCGCAAGGUUGAAACUCAAAGGAAUUGACGGGGACCCGCACAAGCGGUGGAGCAUGUGGUUUAAUUCGAAGCAACGCGAAGAACCUUACCAAAUCUUGACAUCCUUUGACAACUCUAGAGAUAGAGCCUUCCCCUUCGGGGGACAAAGUGACAGGUGGUGCAUGGUUGUCGUCAGCUCGUGUCGUGAGAUGUUGGGUUAAGUCCCGCAACGAGCGCAACCCUUAAGCUUAGUUGCCAUCACUAAGUUGGGCACUCUAAGUUGACUGCCGGUGACAAACCGGAGGAAGGUGGGGAUGACGUCAAAUCAUCAUGCCCCUUAUGAUUUGGGCUACACACGUGCUACAAUGGACGAUACAAAGGGCAGCGAAACCGCGAGGUCAAGCAAAUCCCAUAAAGUUGUUCUCAGUUCGGAUUGUAGUCUGCAACUCGACUACAUGAAGCUGGAAUCGCUAGUAAUCGUAGAUCAGCAUGCUACGGUGAAUACGUUCCCGGGUCU